UGUAUCAUAUCAUUCAAAACAUAUUUGAUUCAUAACAAAUGGAGCAUAGAGUAAUUGGAGCAUAUCAAUGGCAGAUAGGACAUUUCAAAACAUAUCAGUUCAUAGCAAAUGGAGCACAGAGUAAUUGGAGCAUAUCAAUGGCAGAUAGGACAUUUCAGAACAUAUCAGUUCAUAGCAAAUGGAGCACAGGGUAAUUGGAGCAUAUCAAUGGCAGAUAGGACAUUUCAGAACAUAUCAGUUCAUAGCAAAUGGAGCACAGAGUAAUUGGAGCAUAUCAAUGGCAGAUAUGACAUUUCAGAACAUAUCAGUUCAUAGCAAAUGGAGCACAGAGUAAUUGGAGCAUAUCAAUGGCGUAUGAAAUGUUCCGGAGCAUAUCAACGACAUAUGGAACAUUUUGAAACAUAUCAACAGUGGAUGAAACAAUUCAGAGCAUAUCAAUAACAAAUACCGUACAGAAGCUCAAACGUCGUCUUUGACGUUGCAAACAUAUCAAUCUUAUCCAAAGCAUGUAUAGAAACACAUAACUAAAGCUCUGGAUAUCAUAUCAAACAUACAAAAGGUGUAGUGGGAUCUCAGUCAGAAUGUGAUUCAUCCAUUUCUGAAUGACCACCUGACAAAAGUCUCCCACGUCUGGGAGCUCCAUCCACCCACGUCUUGGUGAAGUCAAAGGGGGCCGGUAGAGCAUCGCAGGCUCUAAGCACAUACCCUUUACCAUUUCUGGCAAAGGUCCAGAAUAACACCCUUUACCAUUUCUGGCAAAGGUCCAGACAAUCCCACAACACCAGAGUACAAGAGGGCAGUUUUAACAAUAAGUAGCACAUAUCGGAAGCACACGCGGAACAACAAAACAUACAUGUGCCUUUACGAGUCAAUACGAAGUAAGCAAUAAUCUUUCACAAUGAUAUUUGGAUUUUGAAAGGAAAUGGAAUAGGCACAUAUCGAAAGCAAAUGCGGAACAAUGGGAUACACAUGUGCCUAAAUGAGUUAAUACGAUAUAGCAUAAACGUUACACAAUAGAUUUCAAGAAUGCAAAUAACUUCAAGGACAAGAGCAUACAAGAAUUCAAAGCAGUAAUAUAAAGCUCAAUUGAAUAAGAAGGCUAAAAGAUAUCAAUUUCCAAAGGAAUGAAACCAGAAUAUGAGAAAUCGACCAAAGCUCGAUUUCUGGCAGAAUACAAGAGGCACAUUGAACAGAUGAUUCAAACUAUCAAUCGUGCUCCAAUUUACUCAGAAAUAAUCAUUGGAUUAUACUUUCAGAUAAGACAGGCUUCAUAUGAAUCGAACUGUCCAACAGUGACAGUUACAAAUAAUUUGGUAAACAAGGGUCGUAGAACAAAAUCUCUGUUGGCAGAAUUCAUAAUGUCAAAUUCAACAGAUAACUGGGCAGGUGUUUGGAUUCCAAAUCUUUCAAUCCAUAUAUCAAAAGAAAGAUCUAUGAGUCUAGUUUCCAAUGAAAUAAGCUUUGAAUAAAUCCAUGUUUGCAACAGGGACUUAUAAGCAGUUCAGUAUCAAAAGGUUAGAAAUUACGAUCCCUGUUUUACAGAAUCUGUAGGCUCAUUUGAAACAGAAGUUUGGGUAGACAAACUUACUCUGAAUUCUUAAAAUAAGCUAUCAAAACAAAGGUUUAUGAGACUAUAUUCUGAUCAAAUAAGUUUUGUCCAAAUCAGAUGUCAAUACAUGAAGUUAUAAUCAUAACAAGGUAGAAAGGUCAGAAUCUUGGAAGUUGCACAGAUUCGAAUCGUUACGUCUAAACUGGAGAUAUAUCAAGUGCAAGGCUAGAACAAUUCAAAGUUCCUCAUAUUCAAAGCAAAUGUAGAGAUAAAAUUGCAGUGAGGAAAGAUCAGGAUACUUACAAUAGGAAAGAUUAGAACAAUUACAGGAGAAACGAACAGGAAACUUGCAAUAGGAAAUAUUAGAACAAUAACAGGAGAAACGAUUGGGAAACUUGCAAUAGGAAAGAUUAGAACAAUAACAGGAGAAACGAUUGGGAAACUUGC
This 1996-nucleotide long non-coding RNA is filed under the name Musa acuminata (dwarf banana). RNAcentral describes it as "long non-coding RNA (MACU_LNC011156)". The record is from RNAcentral. Lineage: Eukaryota; Viridiplantae; Streptophyta; Magnoliopsida; Zingiberales; Musaceae.